AGGAAAAUCAUGAAGUAACAUUCCAAUAGAAGGAUCAACCUAAAGUUUGGUGGAGAAAUCAUUUAUGUUAGUUAAAGUGGCAGCCAUCAGCGGAUAGGUAGAAGCACAUACACAACAAAUUGGUCUACACUCUCUUGUGGCAGCUAAUCUUUCUGCAGGUCCCGUGUUAAUUUGAGAGCAGCAGCUGUCUGCUUGCUCCGGCUAGAUGGAAAACAAUCACUCCUGCCUUCAUAUACACAUGAUUUCCGCUGUCACGGCAAGUUAGAACAAUUCUUUAUUCAUGGUUGCAUAAUUAAAGACUUGCAUGACAAUCUUAGGGAUGAUCUUUAACUUCCUUGCAUCACAAUUUAGUAAAGUGUCAAUAUCGCCAUCACCACCAAGAGGAGAAGACCUCUCGUCCUUGUCGAUAUAUGAUAUUUGGAGUACCACUUCAUUGUAAAAAAUCCGAUAUUGAACAAAAAAAUUAAUGCAUUUUAGUUAGGAGGUAUGAAUGACACACACAACCACUUUGAUGUGUCGAAGCUGCAUUGUGGUUAGAAAGGGCACUCUUUUAUGGGAUAAAUAGAAGUUGAAUGAAAAUUACCUCAUAUUUGCUGCUAGUAGAAAUCACAGACUCAAAUUCACUCCAUGAGUUGGGUGCAUAAAAAACAUUACCAUCUUCAAGUUGCUUCUUGAUCCUCUGAGCUAUAGUGAUUGUAUCUUAUGUUCGCUUAACAUUUGAAUGAAGCAAUUUUACCAUAGAAACCAAAAAUAAAAACAAUCACAUAUUAGAAAUUCUUUCAAAAAUAAGUAUUGAAAACAGCUUCGUAAAUAAAGCUAGCAGGAUCCUAGAAAAUUGUUUUCCUCGUGUGUUACCUUAAAAUAUGUCAAGAACCAAAGAAACAGAUUAUUUGUGAGAAAGGUAAAACUUGAUUAUGUUGAAGAAUCACUUCCAACUACUAAAAAAUAAAAAAUCAAUUAUUAAAAUAGUUGUGAUAAAAGAUGAAGUAGAGCUAUUUUUUUUUUAAAAGCAACAUAUAUAUUUAACAGCUAAUUUGCACAAAACAUGCAAAGAAACAAACAUAAUUACGGAAGCCUUAUGUAUGCGGCAAGCAACCAAUAGGAAACCAAAAUACCCUACCCCAUCACAAUACAAACCAACAAAUCAAAAUCACCAUUGCGCAUAACGCCUAAAACAGGACCGAAACAAAAACUGCAGCCAAAGCCACACACCAGACCAGCAGACGGUGAAAAAACUGACAGGAAAAAAGCACCUAACAGCAGCAACAGACCCGAGGCUUGCCCUCUCAACUGUCAUCCCCUUUGUAAACACUCCUUUGGAUUUCAUAUACAACGAAGUAGAGCUAUUCGAUUGGUUAAUUCAUAACUCAUUGAUAUAGUGGUGUCCUUGAUCUCAUGGAACCUGUAAAUGAAUGAUAACAAAAAAAGAAUAUUAAAAAGACAAUAACUUGAGAAUAUGAACACUAACAACUUUUGAAUUUUUCUUCCCUUCAAUCAAAGCAAUAUAUUUAUGAAGUCUCAACUUAAGUGCAUCAUAUGACUACCAACAAAUUCAAAAGGGAAACCAAAAACACAUUUAGAUCAGAUUACGCCACUAUAUAAGACUAAUGAAAUCAAGUGUCCUAAGAUGCAAUGCAAGUGUACUAAGUCAAUCCCAAAAUGUCACUAAAUGAGUAAUUUGAAAACCAAUUUCCUGGAGUCUUCUGAAGCAUUCCAUAGCAGACCGCCAACUUCAGUCACUUAAUAAAGACCAUCACUUUAUGCUUUCAAUUCCACAAUAGAUAGAAAUUCUUCAAGGCAAUUAACAUGAGACCAUAUAUAAAAUUCAGAAUGCAACAGAGAAAGCUUAUUAAUGUUUAAAAUAUUCAAAUGCUUAAGUAGUUGAAAGAUAAAAUCACUUAAGAUUUGAACUUUCCUUAC
Molecule: long non-coding RNA, 1920 nt
Filed under: Medicago truncatula (barrel medic)
Lineage: Eukaryota; Viridiplantae; Streptophyta; Magnoliopsida; Fabales; Fabaceae
Description: long non-coding RNA (MTRU_LNC000676)
Source: RNAcentral